RNAcentral lists this ribosomal RNA (804 nucleotides) under uncultured organism. RNAcentral describes it as "bacterial SSU rRNA". It matches the Rfam family "Bacterial small subunit ribosomal RNA", at positions 24 to 822 of the family's 1533-position model. The record is from RNAcentral.
UCAGGAUGAACGCUAGCGGCAGGCCUAACACAUGCAAGUCGAGGGGUAACAGGGGAGCUUGCUCCCGCUGACGACCGGCGCACGGGUGCGGAACGCGUAUGGAACCUGCCCCUGUCAGAGGAAUAGCCCAUGGAAACGUGGAUUAAUGCCUCAUGGUAUUGUGAAGUUGCAUGAUUUUACAAUUAAAGAUUUAUCGGACAGGGAUGGCCAUGCGUAUCAUUAGCUAGUUGGGGAGGUAACGGCUCACCAAGGCGACGAUGAUUAGGGGCCCUGAGAGGGGGAUCCCCCACACUGGUACUGAGACACGGACCAGACUCCUACGGGAGGCAGCAGUGAGGAAUAUUGGACAAUGGUCGGAAGACUGAUCCAGCCAUGCCGCGUGCAGGAAGACGGCCCUACGGGUUGUAAACUGCUUUUCUACAGGAAGAAAGGUUCCCUUGCGAGGGAGAUUGACGGUACUGUAGGAAUAAGGACCGGCUAACUCCGUGCCAGCAGCCGCGGUAAUACGGAGGGUCCGAGCGUUAUCCGGAAUCAUUGGGUUUAAAGGGUCCGUAGGUGGGGUUCUAAGUCAGAGGUGACAGGUUGCAGCUCAACUGUAGAAUUGCCUUUGAUACUGGAGCUCUUGAGUUAUGUUGCUGUGGCCGGAACCAUGUGGUGUAGCGGUGAAAUGCAUAGAUAUCACAUAGAACACCGAUUGCGAAGGCCGGUCACAAAGCAUACACUGACACUGAGGGACGAAAGCGUGGGGAGCGAACGGGAUUAGAUACCCCGGUAGUCCACGCCGUAAACGAUGGAUACUAGCUG